Molecule: long non-coding RNA, 3544 nt
Filed under: Homo sapiens (human)
Lineage: Eukaryota; Metazoa; Chordata; Mammalia; Primates; Hominidae
Description: HSALNT0034431
Source: RNAcentral
AUAAACCCAGGCCUUCCAGCAGGCAAUGGCAACCCCCUUUGGGUCCCCUCCCUUUAUAUGGGAGCUCUGUUUUCACCCUAUUAAAUCUUGCAACUGCACUUUUCUGGUCCAUGUUUGUUACAGCUUGAGCUGAGCUUUCGCUCGCCAUCCACCACUGCUGUUUGCCGUUGUGCCGGACCCGCCACUGACUUCUAUCCCUCCGGAUCCGGCAGGGUGUCUGCUGUGCUCCUGAUCCAGCGAGGCGCCCAUUGCUGCUCCCGAUCAGGCUAAAGGCUUGCCAUUGUUCCUGCACGGCUAAGUGCCUGGGUUCGUCCUAAUCGAGCUGAACACUAGUUACUGGGUUCCAUGGUUCUCUUCUGUGAUCCAUGGCUUCUAAUAGAGGUAUAACACUCACCUGGCAUGGCCCAGGAUUCCAUUCCUUGGGAUCCGUGAGGCCAAGAACCCCAGGUCAGAGAACACGAGGCUUGCCACCAUCUUGGAAGCGGCCCACCACCAUCUUGGAAGCUGCUAGCCACCAUCUUGGAAGUUCUGUGAACAAGGACCCCCGGUAACAUUUUGGCGACCACGAAGGGACCUCCAAAGUGAUGGAGGCUCUCUCUCUGUGCAACUGGGGGUGUGGUGAUGCAAAUAUCCUUCUGGCCACCGCCACUGGGGCCGUGCUGGGUCAGACCUGAAGGCAGCACAGCACUGGAUUUCACCUGAGGCCCUCUAUAAUCACUACCCGGCUGCCACCUAUGUUCACUCAAGACCCUAUGUUCAUUCAACGGCUCUAUAAUCAGCAGAUGGCAAAUCCAGCCAGGUUCAUGUGCUUCCCUUCAGGAUGUGUGGAAAUGGGCACCUUUGACUGAACCAUGUUUCUUGCUCGGUAUUGAAAAAUGACCUCAUUCCUUUGUCAUGGAUGACUAUCAGCUCUGCUGGAAGACUCAUGAGAGAGUCUAUUCGAGCACAAAACUCGAAGACAGCUGCCUGGGAAACAAAAAUUCCAAAGAAUGGACAUCAAUGUUCCAAAGGGUAGAAGUUUGGACUCAUUUUAUUAGACAAGGAAAAUAUAUUUAACACUCCACACUGAAUAUUUAACAGUCAUGGUAUCUUUGCUCCAGCUGAUCUAAACACAGGACAAUAAAAGACAUGGUUAAUCUACAACAAAGGUCAGUGAUUAAAAGGGGAGGAGGCAUGCCACUGCACUCCAGCCUGGGUGACACAGCGAGACUCCAGUACUCUGUCUCAAAAAAGAGAAGGGGAGGAGGCCUGGUCUCUGGUCUCUCCUAAUCAUUUACAGAACAAUAACAGUGAGGAAGAGAGCUAACCUAUAAUCUAAGAAGCAAAAGUUUCAAUUAUAUGCUACAUGACUCAUCAUAGUCAUCUCUCUCUCAAGGAUUAAAAUGUUUUUUGGGGUUUCAACAGCUUUUACAUUUUGUUUGUUUUCACAUUUCCCCUUUGUCAUCAAGAUUGUUUGAGGAAGUCAUCAUAGAAAAACUCAGUAGUUUUGCCUCCCUCUUUUUGUUUGGUUUUGAGACAGAGUUUCACUCUUAUUGCUCAGGCUGGAGUGCAGUGGUGUGAUCUUUGCUCACUGCAACUUCCGCCUCCUGGGUUCAAGCAAUUCUCCUGCCUCAGCCUCCCAAGUAGCUGAGAUUACAGGCAUGCACCACCACGCCCAGCUAAUUUUGUAUUUUCAGUAGAGAUGGUGUUUCACUAUGUUGGUCAGGUGGAUCUCCAACUCCUGACUGACCUCAGGUGAUCCACCCACCUCAGCCUCUCAAAAUGCUGGGAUUAUGGGCGUGAGCCACCGCACCCAGGCUUUUGCCUCCUGUUAUGUUCAGAAAUUUAGUCCCAUGUUGCUAGGAAGGCUUAUUCCUAGAAUGUCAUGUCUCCCAGUGAGGGGGGAUUGAUUGGAUGAGCUAUAAAGCUGAUAAGAGUAUAGGUUGGAUGUAAAGCAACAUGAAGAAAGUGACUUUGUGAACUGUGUCAGGCUAAACAGCUACAUCUUUAAUGAAGGCAAUUCUUUACAUGACCACUGUUUUAGUCUUUUCAGUAGUGCAUUGACUCCAUUGCAAACAGCAGCAGUGAAAACUAAAGCUGAGCAAAACACAACAUAUGAUUAUAAUUCCUAGAAUAAGUAGCAGCUUUUGCUACCAAGUUCCCCAAGACCUAAAUCAGCUGCUUAGCCAAUUGCUCAGGAAGAGUCUUGGAUCUGAAAGGCUAAUUAUUUGGAGUUUCAUAUCUGCCAUUACUUUAGUGAUGUUUUCUGAAUCAGCUGGAAUAUAGACCCAGUACUCAUUAGGUUUUAUAAAGACUAAAUGAUAUACAUUUUAAAACACCAUGCUGGCUUGAAGGACCCAUCUUCUCUCAUCUUGUUCAUCAACAUCAACUUCCAAGAAAUAUAUUCUAGUAUCCCUAGUUAAGCUUUACCUUUUCUUUACUCCCUUUUUGAUCUUUAAAAAUCAAAUUUGUUUACAUAUCUAUUUUCUGGCAGAGCAUUUAGUUUUACAAAUUCAAAGUUUGUGUUUUUCAUCUGUGUGACUCUCCCACCAAACCUGUGACAGCACCUAAACAACUAUCUCACACUGGGACUUAUUUAUUUUAAAGUUUUGAACUUUUUGCUGGCUUUCCAAGAACAUAGAUGCUCAUCGUAGACAACCCUGAAGGAACAAGAAAUUAGAAACCCACAGACAAUCAACAACAGUUAUCAUUUUACCAUGAUCACUUUAAUUAAAUAUUUUAAAAAUUGUUUAUAUUGAAGAGAAGUGCAUCACUCAAAAGUGCAGAGCUUGAUGAAUUUCCACAAAGACCUUCCUGAUGUAACCGUUACGCAGAUCAAGCGACUGAGCAGUACCAGCAACCAAGAAAUCUCUCUAUUCCUUCUCCCAAUCUCUGCCUCAUUCUCCUACUUUUCAGUUGCUACUGUAACAAAUUACCACAAACUUAGUGGUUUCAUUUAUUUUCUCUUACAGUUCUGGGUUCAGAAGUUUGUUAGAGCUCUAUUCCUUCUGGAGGCUUCAGAGGAAAAUCUGUUUCCUUACAUUUUGUAGCUUCUAGAGUCCACCUGCAUUCCGUGGCCUGUGUCCCCUUCUUCUAUCUUCAAAACUCAUCACACCAACUUCUGGUUUCAUUGUCACUUAACAUUUUUUCUAACUUCUAACUCAAAUGACAUUCAACAUUGUUAUGUCAUUUUCAUUCAACACCUUUUUCUUUUAUUCUUCCUGUUUUCCUCUUACAAGGACUUUUAUAAUUAUAUUGGGCCCACCCAGAUGAACCAGGAUAGUCUACCCAUCUCAAUGUCCUUACCUUCAUCACAUCUGUCAUUCCUUUUGCUAUAUAAGGUAACUUAUUCACAGUUCUGAGGAUUAGGAUGGGGACAUCUUUAGGGAGGCAAUGUUCUGUGUACCACAGUGACUAUUAACAUGACUUUUAAUAAUAUAGAUUUGUUUUUCUGUUUUCAAGGUUAUAUAAAUGCAAUCUUUAUAUAAAUGUACCCUUUGAUGUCCAACAUAUUUUAUUCAACAUUGUAUUUGUGAGGUUAUCCAUUCUGUUGUGCAUAGAAGUA